UCUUUUUCUCUGGCGCUGCUGUUGUUCGCCGACCGGCUGCCGCCUCGCCCCUUCACUUCCCUCACCCUCGCCUUUGCUCUCUGCUCUCUCAUUCUCUCUCUCGUUGCGCGCGUACACACACACGCCCAACAGCGCCGCCCAACACAAAACCUCUCCCUUCUCUUUUCUUCUCCGGCGAGGUGGUCAACGUUAACAGAAGAGGUGGAUCUCCGCCGUCAGAUCGCUCAGAUCCAGGGAACCAAUGGCUAUUGUGCCGAAUUUGGCCUCGAUCUAGAGGACGGACUUGGAGUAGAGGAGGUGAAAGGCGGCAAAGGGGUGCCAGCCGCCGACUCAGAUGACGGCAUCCUCGCGCUGGGUCCGAUGAGGCGACGGUUGCCCGCCGAUUCUGAGAGAAGAGCGAAAUAGUGUAGUGGUGGGCAGAUUUCUCUUCGAUUUUGUUUUGGGGAUUUUGGUGGUGAGGAUUAGGGCCUUUUUCUUUGAAGAUAUCAAAUGAGGAUAGGAGAUUUCUCAGAUGGAGGUUGCUCAGAUUGGGGGUGAAUUUGUUUUUUGUUGGAUCGAGAGAGAGAGAGACACAGAUUGAGAUGGAAGAAGAAGUUAGAUUGAGGAU
RNAcentral lists this long non-coding RNA (607 nucleotides) under Salvia miltiorrhiza (redroot sage). RNAcentral's name for it is "long non-coding RNA (SMIL_LNC003108)". Lineage: Eukaryota; Viridiplantae; Streptophyta; Magnoliopsida; Lamiales; Lamiaceae. The record is from RNAcentral.